Salvia splendens (bonfire salvia) is the source of this 2301-nucleotide RNA transcript. RefSeq lists it as uncharacterized. NCBI's taxonomy places the organism in Eukaryota, Viridiplantae, Streptophyta, Magnoliopsida, Lamiales, Lamiaceae. The transcript is spliced from 2 exons. The record is from RefSeq and is a predicted model, not a curated record.
AGCUUCUCCGCCGCCGAUCCCCUGGGUUUGAGAGUCCGCCGCUACUGUCGUCCAAUCCAGCCAUCGUUCAUCACCGAACCAACCCCGAAACGUCCCGAAACUAACCCGAAAAGCCCCGCACAACCCCGAAACAGUCCCCCCCGACCGAAAGAAGUAGCCCACUGGAUUUUGCAGAUUCAGUUUCUGUCAAAAUUUUGCAUAACGUUUGAUUUCCGAAAGAAGUGCGAAAUUGUUCUAUGAACGGAGGAAUACAGAUUACCUGUAAUUCAAUUGAUUGAGCUCUCGGUUUCUUGAAUUUUCUUGCUGCUGAAACCGAUCAGAAGAAAGAAAUGGAUUGAAGAUUUAAGAUAUGAGAAAGAUUUAGCAGAGGAGAGUUGGCGGUUUGGAUGUGGGUGGAGGAAAAUAUCUUAGAAUUUUUUUUUAUUAAAAAGAUUUAUUAACUUGGUGACCAAGUUAGACAAAUUUAAUUUUUUUUUUUAGUAAAUAAUUGAUUAUUUAUUUAUUUACUUAUUUAUCUAAUUUGGUGUAGGUAUAUUCGGUUCAAGUUCGUGGCUGUCCGCGUUGAAGUACCCAAUUUUUCUUAGAAAGCAGGAUGUAUUAAAUUUUAUUGGACUCGAAAUAUUCGUUCGAGAAAGAAGCAAUGAUUAUUUAUAAUUCCAAGAUCAAUUAAUAUACAUGAAAAUGGCAGGUUUUGAAUACUACAACGAUCACUUAUUAUUUAUCUUUAGGCUAAUAAUAAUAAUAAGGUACGAAAGUUCGGGUUGUUACAUUCACGCCGCCUCCGGCGAAUUCACCCCACCGUUCGCUCCUCUUCGAUUUGGGGAGCCGCGGUGUUACCAAUGGGAGAAAAAGGCGUCGCCUUUCUCUCUUUCCCUCCUCCUCCGUCUCUCCCGCCGAGGCUCUCGCUCUCGGCGAAUUCGUCGUCUCGACGGCCAUCCACCAUUUCGUCCGUCGCUGGAGUCUAGCGGGGAGUCGUCCUCGCGCCGGACCGCCUCCGCCUCGCGCGCUGCCGCUCCGGCAGCCUCCCGGUCCAGAAGUUAAGUCCCUUCCCUCACUCCCUCUUUCCCCGUUUAAUUUCGAGUUAAGCAUUAGCUUGGUGAUCGUUGAGCAUUUCGUUUGAUCUUAACCAGGGAUUUUAGCUACUAUGUUCUAACUCUUUAAGAUCUCACUGUAUGAGUUCGUUGUGAUGAUUGUUGAGCCCUAUUCGAUCCUAAGCUUCAUUCUGUAAUUUGUUACGAGUCUAGGUUCGAUUCUCUGAUGGCUUAUUCUAUAUGAUGCACGGAGUGUUGUUGUUGAGGGGGUUUACCUUGAUCGAUGAACUCCUUCGGCCUGCCCUUCUCACUGCCGCUGCUCCUCACUCCGUUGCACUCCCUUGCCUUGCGAGAAUUUGGCAGAAUAUGUGUGUGGAGUGGGGAGGGGAGGGCGGUAUUUAUAAGCCAUUCCUUUGGCUUCUUGUGGCAGCUCAUGGGGCAUUGGGCGUUACUACUUUUGGCUUUAAGUUUAGCUCUCUUUUGAUCUUUGUAACUAGGGUGAUCAUGCUAGAUUGAUGUAAGUUCGGGGCUGUCACUCUUGGCUGUUUGUGACUGAGACUUGGGGACAAAGCCUCCUAUUUUGGGGCUGCCAGCUAGCUCCCUUUUGAGUUUGAUGAAUGUGUUCUGCAUGCUAAAUUGGUGAUAAACUUGGCUGCCUCCCUUGGCUGCCAGAUUGACCUCGGUUGAGGGGAUGGGGAAUCUGACCCAUGAUCCCUUUUUGAGCAUAUACCAAGCUCAUUUCACUCGGUCCAUUUGCCUUGGUUCCUACUUUGGUGUAACUGAAUGGUUGACAGAAGGGAGCUGAUCUUGGCUCUAUUUUGCAGCCUACAGGCUGACCUAUGCGGCUCUAUUUCUCCUCAUUUCCUUAUUGAGCUUGUGUCUCCCUCUUCCCUUACUUGUGUCUAAAAUCUAAUACCCCUUUCUGUGUAAACUUUGCAGGUGUAGGCUGCCUUCCUGGAGUCAUAUGGAGGGCUGGAAUUUCGAGAAAAAGAGGAGGGAGACAAGAGAGAAUCCAUUACCUCAUUCCCUUUGUUUUAUUGCUAAACUUAGCCAUUGUUCAAGCAUUAGACUUUGAGUAGCUUUUGACCAAGUCCCAUAUUAGCUACUAGUUUGAUCUUAGUUCAUCUCAUAGCUUAGAGUAGGAUUAGUUGUUUCACUGUGUGGAAAUCGAAGCAUGUAUAAUUUGUAUCUCCAUAUUUUGAAUUUCUAUUUCGUCAAGGUGUAACCACAUUUCUCUAAUAAAAGUAUUUCUUCUACUUUUAUGUUUCAA